Thermus scotoductus SA-01 is the source of this 88-nucleotide non-coding RNA. The record is from Rfam. Lineage: Bacteria; Thermotogati; Deinococcota; Deinococci; Thermales; Thermaceae.
UUUGUGCUCUUUGGUCGGGCCAAGGGAGCACGGUAAGAGCCAGCCGCCGCGGGGCGCGAGGUCCCGCGGAAGAACCCUGUUAGCUUAC